UACGUAGGUGACAAGCGUUGUCCGGAUUUACUGGGCGUAAAGAGCGCGCAGGCGGUCGAUCAAGUCGAGUGUGAAAGCCCCCGGCUCAACUGGGGAGGGUCAUUCGAUACUGAUCGACUCGAAGGCAGGAGAGGGUAGUGGAAUUCCCGGUGUAGUGGUGAAAUGCGUAGAUAUCAGGAGGAACACCGGUGGCGAAGGCGGGACUCUGGGCUGAUACUGACGCUGAGGAGCGAAAGCGUGGGGAGCAAACAGG
This 253-nucleotide ribosomal RNA is filed under the name uncultured bacterium. Its description in RNAcentral is "partial 16S ribosomal RNA". It matches the Rfam family "Bacterial small subunit ribosomal RNA", at positions 524 to 776 of the family's 1533-position model. The record is from RNAcentral.